This 441-nucleotide ribosomal RNA is filed under the name Chondrilla australiensis. RNAcentral's name for it is "eukaryotic LSU rRNA". The record is from RNAcentral. Lineage: Eukaryota; Metazoa; Porifera; Demospongiae; Chondrillida; Chondrillidae.
GCCGGGGAAGCGAAUGAGGCUGCGCGUGGCGCCGGUGUCGUCAGGCGUCCCGGCGGACACUCGGUGGCAGUUGUCGGACCCCUCCGGGGGGAAGCACUGCUGCGAGACUGUCCUGCUGGGACCGGCUGCAUUGAUGCCGGGGCUGGGCCAGCACCGGUUUCUAGCUGCGGGAGAAAUGUUUGGCUGGGUAGCUCGUCGUGGUGGUUCCUGCCUCGCCGAUGGCCCGCCGAAACUGCUGCCCGCCUGGAACCGAGGCGAGUUGGCAUCCCUUGCCCUUGCGGUGCGUGCCUGAAGGCUGGACGGCGUUGCGGCACUGCCGGGCCUCCCCUGGACUGCUUGCAUGCCGGGGAUGUGCCUUGCCGGUGGUGCCGAAACGUGCGGUCGCAAUGUGCACCGAGGGUGCUGGCCGGAGGCGUCUCAUCCGACCCGUCUUGAAAACGG